CGAGUGAAGCGGGAAAAGCUCAAAUUUAAAAUCUGGUGGUGGCCAUCCGAGUUGUAAUCUAGAGAAGUGUUACCCGCGUUGGACCGUGUACAAGUCUCCUGGAAUGGAGCGUCAUAGAGGGUGAGAAUCCCGUCUUUGACACGGACUACCAAGGCUUUGUGGUGCGCUCUCAACGAGUCGAGUUGUUUGGGAAUGCAGCUCAAAAUGGGUGGUAAAUUCCAUCUAAAGCUAAAUACAGGCGAGAGACCGAUAGCGAACAAGUACCGUGAGGGAAAGAUGAAAAGAACUUUGGAAAGAGAGUUAAACAGUACGUGAAAUUGCUGAAAGGGAAACGCUGGAAGUCAGUCGCGUUGGCUAGGAAUCAACCUUGCUCUUUUGCAGGGCUUACUUCUUAGUUGACGGGCCAACAUCAAUUUUGACCAUUGGAGAAAGGCUCAGGAAAUGUGGCACCUUCGGGUGUGUUAUAGUCCUGGGUUGUAUACAGUGGUUGGGAUUGAGGAACGCAGCACGCCGCAAGGUUGGGUUUCGACCACACCCGUGCUUCGGAUGUUGGCAUAAUGGCUUUCAUCGACCCGUCUUGAAACACGGACCAAGGAGUCUAACAUGCCUGCGAGUGUUUGAGUG
RNAcentral lists this ribosomal RNA (624 nucleotides) under Cyathus pallidus. Its description in RNAcentral is "partial large subunit ribosomal RNA". It matches the Rfam family "Eukaryotic large subunit ribosomal RNA", at positions 90 to 700 of the family's 3401-position model. The record is from RNAcentral. Lineage: Eukaryota; Fungi; Basidiomycota; Agaricomycetes; Agaricales; Nidulariaceae.